GGAAUACCCGCUGAACUUAAGCAUAUCAAUAAGCGGAGGAA
Molecule: ribosomal RNA, 41 nt
Filed under: Trichoderma harzianum
Lineage: Eukaryota; Fungi; Ascomycota; Sordariomycetes; Hypocreales; Hypocreaceae
Description: partial 28S ribosomal RNA
Source: RNAcentral